RNAcentral lists this ribosomal RNA (274 nucleotides) under uncultured bacterium. Its description in RNAcentral is "partial 16S ribosomal RNA". It matches the Rfam family "Bacterial small subunit ribosomal RNA", at positions 523 to 796 of the family's 1533-position model. The record is from RNAcentral.
AGACGGAGGGCGCAAGCGUUGUUCGGAAUCACUGGGCAUAAAGAGUACGUAGGCGGUCUGCUAAGUCAGAUGUGAAAGCCCUGGGCUUAACCCGGGAACUGCAUUUGAUACUGGCAGACUUGAGGACAGCAGGGGUGAGUGGAACUUCAGGUGGAACGGUGAAAUGUGUAGAUAUCUGAAGGAACACCGGUGGCGAAAGCGGCUCACUGGGCUGUCUCUGACGCUGAGGUACGAAAGCUAGGGUAGCGAACGGGAUUAGAAACCCCAGUAGUCC